AUGCCAUUGGAAUCUACAGAUGGUGGAGGGCACAGGUCCUAAUUUCAACGUAUUUCCAUAUGUUCUUUAAAAUCACCUGAAACUGCCCUGCGCAGGCUCACACCACGGCUCUGUACCAAGGGCUUGGACCCGCCUGCAGCCAGACGGCAUCUCACUAGAUGUCAUCAUCAUCAAAGAGAUCUUCAAAACCAUUUAAAAAGUCUACAUGAACAGCCUUUUCAUUAGUUGCCAAGUCCAUCAAGAACCUGGUGCUGCCUCCCGCCUCGUCCAGGUCCAUGUAGGGCCCGGCGCCCUUGGAAACAUCUCGUCCACGGCCAGCUUCAUCUUGGGCUGCGGCGCUCUAGGCCCACUUCCGGCCACGGGGCCGCUUCGUAUUUUUCUAUUUUUUAA
RNAcentral lists this long non-coding RNA (390 nucleotides) under Pan troglodytes (chimpanzee). Its description in RNAcentral is "long non-coding RNA NONPTRT004792". The record is from RNAcentral. Lineage: Eukaryota; Metazoa; Chordata; Mammalia; Primates; Hominidae.